GUGCUCNCUUCAGCAGCACAUAUACUACAAUUGGAACAAUACAGAGAAGAUUAGCAUGGGCCCUGCGCAAGAAUGAAGCGUUCCAUUUUUUUUUUUUUUUU
This 101-nucleotide small nuclear RNA is filed under the name Salvator merianae (Argentine black and white tegu). The record is from RNAcentral. Lineage: Eukaryota; Metazoa; Chordata; Lepidosauria; Squamata; Teiidae.